This 127-nucleotide small RNA is filed under the name Salmonella enterica subsp. enterica. RNAcentral describes it as "partial RtT sRNA". It matches the Rfam family "RtT RNA". From Rfam's summary of the family: This family represents a bacterial cis-regulatory element known as RtT RNA. Lineage: Bacteria; Pseudomonadati; Pseudomonadota; Gammaproteobacteria; Enterobacterales; Enterobacteriaceae. The record is from RNAcentral. RNAcentral also lists the same sequence under 1 other name.
AUAUCUUUCUGUACGGGAAGGAUGAGAAGCUUCGACUAAGGUUCGAUUCGAGCGCAGCGAGAAAGCGUUGCCGCAGGCAACGACCCGAAGGGCGAAGCGCGCAGCGCUGAGUCAUCCUUCCCCCACC